CUACGGAGGGUGCAAGCGUUACUCGGAAUUACUGGGCGUAAAGGACGCGUAGGCGGUUUAGAAAGUCAGAUGUGAAAGCCUAUGGCUUAACCAUAGAACUGCAUUUGAAACUUCCAAACUAGAGUGGGGGAGAGGUCAGUGGAAUUAGUGGUGUAGGGGUAAAAUCCGUAGAGAUCACUAGGAAUACUCAUUGCGAAGGCGACUGACUGGAACUUAACUGACGCUGAGGCGUGAAAGCGUGGGGAGCAAACAGGAUUAGAAACCCCAGUAGUCC
This 274-nucleotide ribosomal RNA is filed under the name uncultured bacterium. RNAcentral describes it as "partial 16S ribosomal RNA". It matches the Rfam family "Bacterial small subunit ribosomal RNA", at positions 523 to 796 of the family's 1533-position model. The record is from RNAcentral.